Bos taurus (domestic cattle) is the source of this 2740-nucleotide long non-coding RNA. NCBI's taxonomy places the organism in Eukaryota, Metazoa, Chordata, Mammalia, Artiodactyla, Bovidae. The record is from Ensembl.
AGAGCCUUCUGAAAAGAACCCAAUUCAUUCAAUACCUGGAUUCUGACCUUGUGAGACCCUGAACAGACGACCCAAACAAGUUUACCCAGACUGUGAUCUACAGAACUUCAUAGAAAAAAAGGACACCUCAUUGAGCUUCAUCAACAUGAAUACUUGAAAAUGCUCAUUGAUUGUAAAUGAGAAUCUGACUAACCUAUAAAGAGAAAUGGGGAUGCAGACAUUUUAAAAAUGAAGAGAAUUUUACAGCUGGAACAAGAACAUGGAUAAGGAGAUGCCAUCUGGAAGACACCUUUAAGGAAAUCAUCAGGUAGCCCAAAUAUCGCAAGUGGUCCAGAAAAGAAAGAACACCCCUGGGUAAAGGGAAAAAAAUGUGCCAAAGAACGGAAGCAUAAAAGAACAGGUCAUUUUGUGCGACUGUAACAUACACAACUGAAGCCUUGCCUGAAACCUAACAUCACUAGAAGUACUUGCUGGUAGUGAGGGAAUUCUGUGCGGAGGCUAUACUACUGGACUGCUACCAUCGUGAAUUAAUUGUUGCUCUUUGUUUAUGUCCAUUAACCUUCUGAAGUCCUAUUAAUUCUGAAUAAACUCAGUCAGCUCAGUUUUUCUGUUUGAGCCCAGGAGCUAAUGUUUGAAAGAAAGUUCCUCUGCACUAAUUCCAUGUUUUGGAUAAACUCUGUACAACGGAGCAAAUGGCUGAAGUCCAGAGCCCACAGCCCCAGUGGAAUAUACUUUUCAACCCCAAGAGACACCCUAUUUGACCAACAUACUAGACCUAUUUUUCAGAUUUUAAAGUCUUCUUCAAUAAGUAGGAGGAAAAAAAUUAUGUUUCAGUUCUGCAUAUAAUCAAAACAAUAAAUCCACAUGGGGUAAUUUUUUUUCUCACUAAACAUUGUUUAAAAUGUAUUAUUAUACCAAAGAACACAAUUUUUUCCAUUACUCCAACUACAGCUGAAAAAAUAAAAAUUUUCCAUUUAUAUACAGCUUUAGAGUAUUCAAAGCACUUUUACAUAUUACUUAUUUGAACCUCAAAACAACCUUGAAGUCUUGAGACUCAAAACAACCUUGAAAUAUUACCCAUAUUGUAGCACAUAUUUUUGCAGAGAAGGAAACCAAAGUCGAAAAUAAGUAGUUUACCCAAAGUGACACAAUUAUUAUGACUAAACCACACUGCUCAAAAGUCUGAAAAGUCUCAAUCAAGACUGGACUAAUAGUCCUUCUCUGGGGCUCCCAUUGUCCCAUUGCCUAUCCCUUCCAAAGCACUCAUUUUACCAGUGUUUCUCAUGCUUUAAUGUACAUGCAGAUUAUGACUCCAUUGACUUAGGGGUGGGGCCUGAAAUUCUGCAUUUCUAAUAAGCUCCAGAGCAAUGCUGGUGCUGCUGGUCUAAGGCAUGCCAAUGGAUCAGGACAGCCUGGUUUUGGUGUGUUUUUUUUUAAUUCUCCUGCACCCCACUGGAAGCUCUAUAAGGCCACGAAUUAUGCAUUAUUAAUCAAAAGCAUUCCUAGCAUUUAACUCAAGAUAUGACAGGCUAUGAAAGUCUCUAUAAAUAUGAAAUGAAUGAAAAAUUAAGUGAAUAAUGAAAUCCAUGUUUCUAACCUAGAGCUGCCUCCAGUAUAUUAUGCUGUCUCUCACAAACAGUGGCCAGGACUGCCUUUCCCUUUUAACUACCACAUUAGUUAAGGAAAACUCCAGCUUCCUUAAGAAAACCUAUUAUCUCAGUGGCUAAACACAUUGAAGAGGGUUUUUUCUUGCUCAUGUAAGUAUAUAUGAGUCUUCCCUCUUGGAGUAGGUGAGGAAAGGUCUGCUCCACUCAGUCAUUCAGAAUCCAAGCUGACAGAGGCUAUACCAACUGCAGUACAAGGCUGUCAAGGUCACCUCAAGAAUCGACUUCUACCUAGCAUGUGAAGCCUGAAAAUAACUCAUCCAUUCCACCUCUAUUCCAAGAGAACCUGGGAAAUGCAGCCUUCAGUCGGGUAGUCACACUCUAGCAACGAUACACCAGAGAAGAGGGCAGAAGCCACAGGUGGACACAGUGCCCUUUACUGCUGUACAGCCCCCAUGACAACCCACUGUGUGUUAAUGGUGCUCCCUAUUUUCCCAGGAUUGUAUGGGCAAAUUCGUGAUUUUCCCUUUUCCCGGAUUUCCUUUACCCAAACAAGCUCCAUCUGUUCAAUUCCUCCCCACCCUUCAGUGCACAUCUCAGAAGAUAUUUUUAUGCAGCUUUUCCAGAUCUCACAAACAAUAUGUCAUCUCCCUUUCUUGAAUCUCUAAUGCUUUGUACUUUUCUAAUACUCUCCAACACAUUCUACUGUGCAGUUCAAUUAUGGUGUACUUAUAAAUUCCGCAGCUCUAUAUCUGAAUCAUCUUGGUAGUCCUCUCAAGCAUCUAGUACAAAACUUUACAUAUAGCAGCAAUUCAGUAAAUAGGGGCAUUUGUAAGUUGAGCUGAAAACACAUAUAAUAAAUAUAAAGAACUCAUCUGGUAAUAACCUUGCUCUCUGUUUUUCAACAGAGGAGACAGCUAUAACUCCAAAAGUGAAAGUAGAAGAACUGCCAGUGCUCAAAAGCUACAAAUAUAGCUAGAGCCAGGGCAUAAAAUGAAAUACUUCUGGCUCAUAUAGUUCCACUGAGCCACACUGCAUUUUAUACACUUCUUCUUUAAUGGUUCAGACGUACAGUUCUUAAUAUCACAUGGAGACUCAUAACCUUCAGAAUACAGCAUGAAUCAGCUGGCUGCACU